GGAGGAAGCCCCGGCUAACUACGUGCCAGCAGCCGCGGUAAUACGUAGGGGGCAAGCGUUAUCCGGAAUUAUUGGGCGUAAAGAGUACGUAGGUGGCAACCUAAGCGCAGGGUUUAAGGCAAUGGCUCAACCAUUGUUCGCCCUGCGAACUGGGAUGCUUGAGUGCAGGAGAGGAAAGCGGAAUUCCUAGUGUAGCGGUGAAAUGCGUAGAUAUUAGGAGGAACACCAGUGGCGAAGGCGGCUUUCUGGACUGAAACUGACACUGAGGCACGAAAGCGUGGGGAGCAAACAGGAUUAGAUACCCUUGUAGUCC
RNAcentral lists this ribosomal RNA (313 nucleotides) under Klebsiella pneumoniae. Its description in RNAcentral is "bacterial SSU rRNA". It matches the Rfam family "Bacterial small subunit ribosomal RNA", at positions 483 to 796 of the family's 1533-position model. The record is from RNAcentral. Lineage: Bacteria; Pseudomonadati; Pseudomonadota; Gammaproteobacteria; Enterobacterales; Enterobacteriaceae.